CAGCCGCCGCGGUAAUACGGAGGGUGCAAGCGUUAUCCGGAUUUAUUGGGUUUAAAGGGUCCGUAGGCGGACUUAUAAGUCAGUGGUGAAAGCCUGUCGCUUAACGAUAGAACUGCCAUUGAUACUGUAAGUCUUGAGUAUAUUUGAGGUAGCUGGAAUAAGUAGUGUAGCGGUGAAAUGCAUAGAUAUUACUUAGAACACCAAUUGCGAAGGCAGGUUACCAAGAUAUAACUGACGCUGAGGGACGAAAGCGUGGGUAGCGAACAGGAUUAGAGACCCCUGUAGUCCCUGUCUCUUAUAC
This 301-nucleotide ribosomal RNA is filed under the name uncultured bacterium. RNAcentral's name for it is "partial 16S ribosomal RNA". It matches the Rfam family "Bacterial small subunit ribosomal RNA", at positions 509 to 807 of the family's 1533-position model. The record is from RNAcentral.